ACACCAUGGUUGCUUUAUUUUACUGUUUAAUUCUGUUUUAAUCUCUAAAUGUAAGUUAGAAGAAAAACGAUUAGAUAUUAAUCAUUAUACGCGAUGAACAGCGGUCUUUUUAGCGUAACCGGAAGUGAUGGAAACAGUUUAACAGAAUCAGCAUCAGAGGAGAUCAGAGCCUGUGUGUCUGUGAAGAGUGGAUCAAUGGAUCCACCAAUAGAAAUGAAGAGAUGGCCUGACCAAAAAUCGGUUGUAACCGAACCUGUUUGUAAAAAGAUGAAGAUUGAGCAGUCUGUGAAUCAACCACAAUAUUUGUGUUCUCAAUUCAGCCAUGACUCUAAACUUAAUGUCCUGAACACAUUUAAAUCAAAUCUGAGAGAGAAGUUUCAGUGUUUGUAUCCAGGAACAUCAAAGCCGAGAAACCCAACACUAUUGAAUGAGAUCUACACAGAGCUCAACAUCACAGAGUGUGAAAGUGGAGAGGCAGAGGAGACACCAAUCAAAUGUAAUGACAUCUUUAAACCUUUACCUGAACAAGACAAACACAUCAGAAGUGUGCUGACAAAGGGAGUCGCUGGCAUUGGAAAAACAGUCUCUGUACAGAAGUUCAUUCUGGACUGGGCUGAAGAGAAAGAGAAUCAGGACGUCCACCUCAUAUUUCCACUUCCUUUCAGAGAGAUCAAUUUGAUGAAGGACAAAACACUCAGUCUUUUAGAUCUUCUUCAUCUUUUCUUCCCAGAGACAAAAGAAAUGGAAAUCUUCAGUGAUAAAUAUAAAGUGUUGUUCAUCUUUGAUGGUUUGGAUGAGUGUCGUCUGUCUCUGGAUUUUCACAGCAGUGUGAGUUUGUGUGAUGUAAAUGAAUCAACCUCAGUGGACGUGAUGCUGACAAACCUCAUCAAGGGGAAUCUGUUUCCCUCUGCUCUCAUCUGGAUCACCUCCAGACCAGCAGCAGCUGAUCUCAUCCCCUCUGUGUGUGUUGAUCGAGUCACAGAGGUACGAGGCUUCAGUGAUCCACAGAAGGAGGAAUACUUCAGGAAGAGAAUCAGUGAUAAGAGUCUGUCUGAUCAAAUCAUCUCACACCUGAAGUCAUCCAGGAGUCUCUACAUCAUGUGUCACAUCCCAGUGGUCUGCUGGAUUUCAGUCACUGUUCUAGAGAGAAUAUUGAGGGAAGCAGAGAGUCAAGAGAUCCCCAAGAAUCUCACACAAAUGUACACACACUUCCUGAUCAUUCAGACAAACAUCAAACAACAGAAGGACUGUGACGACAAAGUAAAUGAUGAAUACUUGAUCUUCAAACUGUGUAAACUGGCUUAUGAGCAGCUUGUGAAAGGCAAUCUGAUCUUCUAUGAUGAAGACUUGUUAGAGUGUGGCAUUGAUGUAUCAGAAGCAUCAGUGUACUCAGGAUUGUGUACUCAGAUCUUCAGAGAGGAGUUUGGUUUGUGUCAGAGGAAAGUUUACAGCUUUGUUCAUCUGAGCAUUCAGGAACAUCUAGCAGCUCUACAUGUGCACCUCGCCUUUAUGAACAACAACCUAAAUGUGUUUGAACAAAUUCAACCGAUUCAAACACAUCAGCUUUCAAUACAUGAUUUGUAUCGGAGAGCUACAGAUGAGGCUCUACAGAGUAAAAAUGGACAUCUGGAUCUUUUCCUUCGUUUUCUUCUGGGUUUGUCGGUGGAGUCCAAUCAGAAUCUCAUACAAGGUUUGAUGAUACAGACAGGACGAAGCUGUCAUAGCAAUGUGAAAACAAUGGGUUACAUCAAAUGGAAGAUCAGGAAGAAUCCAUCUCCAGAGAAAUCUAUCAAUCUGUUUCACUGUCUAAAUGAACUGGGUGAUUAUUUUCUAGUGAAGGAAAUCCAAAAUUAUCUGAAGUAUAGGAUAUUACGUGAUGCCAAAAUCUCUUCAUCUCAGUGGUCAGCUUUAGUUUUUGUCAUGCUGACUUCAGGACGCGAGCUAAGCGAGUUUAACAUGAAUCGUAUUGUUAAACAAAACAAUUCUGCAAUGCUGAAAGUUUUUCAGAAGCUGCUGCCUGUGAUGUGUGAAUUCACAUCAAUUCUGUUAAGUUCUUGUAAUAUCACAGCUGACAGUUGUGUUGCUCUUACUUCGGCUCUGAGGUCAAACCCAUCACAACUAAGGGAACUGAAUCUGUCUCAGAAUAAUCUAGGAGAUUCAGGAGUGAAGCUGAUCUCUGCCGUACUGGAGAAUCCUCAAUGUAAACUGCAGAAACUGAUGUUGUGGAGUUGUAAUAUCACAGAAGAAGGUUGUGUGGCUCUGACUUCAGCUCUGACAUCAAACCCAUCACACCUGAGAGAACUGAAUCUGUCUAGUAAUAAUCUUGGAGAUUCAGGAAUGGAGCAUCUCUCUGCUGUACUGGAGAAUCCUGACUGUAAACUGGAGAAUCUCUGGUUAAGAAGUUGUAAUAUCACAGAUGAAGGUUGUGUUGCUCUGUCUUCAGCCUUGACAUCAAACCCUUCACACUUGAGAGGACUGAUUCUGACUCAAAAUAAAUUUGGAGAUUUAGGAGUGAAGCUGUUGUCUGCUGCACUGGAGAAUCCGCAGUGUAAACUGCAGAUACUCAAGUAAGAUAAUUUUUCUGUAGUCACAGAUAAUGUGGUUCUCAAAGACUUUGUAACUAUCUAUCAAAGAUACAUUUGACAAACAAACAUCCAGUUAUAAACUAUGAAUGCCUUUACUUGGUUUUAAGAGCAAAUUUUUUUUUUCCCAAGGUACAUAUACGCAAUUAAAACUUCAAUGAAUGCAUUCUUAUUUUUAUAAUUCGCCUAAGUCUAUGAAAAUGCUCAGAUUUUGCUCCCGUCUCUAUAAAACCCACCUCCUCAAAUGUCCAGCGUACUCGGAUUGGUCAGAUGGCCUAAUCUAAUGUUAUAGGUCAUUUGUGUUCAGUAUGUGUUGUAAAGGUUACGCCCCAGAGCAAUCACACGCAUGAAUGUAAACAGCGAUAUGUCUCUAGAAACGAUGGCGUCAGUAUUGCCUUACCAGUUUGAUCCCAAUCCAGAGAAGACAACUGUUACCGAAACACCUCCGCAUGCAAGGCUUUUGCAAGACAUUUCACAAUGAUGCUUGUGACAACUGUACCGGAAUGCCAAGCGAAGCGGAAACCGUGUGUUGCUAAGAAAAAGAUUACAUGGCGUAUCAAAGCCCCAACACCAGCUGACAUGUCAGAGUUGUCAUCCCGUUGCGUAUUGUUCUCCGGAUAUACUAGGAGUUUCCUGAUCAAGCUGGUCAUCAUGUUGGUAAUCAGGCGAGUCAUCACGUUGGUAAUCAGGCGGUUCAUCACAUUGGUAAUCAGGCUGGUCAUCAUCACGUUGGUAAGCAGGCUGGUCAUCACGUUGGCUUCCGACCACCACUUCAACGAAGGGCGAGAUAUCGUGUUCAGUCACCUCCUCCUUCACAGGUCUUUCAAUCCGUGAUGCCAGGUCCAUUGGAAUCGGGAUUUCGUUAAGCUGUUCUAAAUAUGGUACUGGGUCCUCGGAUAUCUCAUCAAGCACAAGACUGAUCAGGUCAUCCACAUAACCUGUAAAAAAAAUUGCAGACAAUAACUUUUCUUUUGCCAAUUUACCUGCUCUGUACAUUUUAAGCAUGUCUGUAAUUAUUUGUAUUUAUAAAAUAAAAUUACUGCUUACGGUA
Molecule: RNA transcript, 3633 nt
Organism: Paramisgurnus dabryanus
Lineage: Eukaryota; Metazoa; Chordata; Actinopteri; Cypriniformes; Cobitidae
Gene name: NLR family CARD domain-containing protein 3-like
Source: RefSeq, a predicted model, not a curated record